RNAcentral lists this ribosomal RNA (179 nucleotides) under uncultured bacterium. Its description in RNAcentral is "partial 16S ribosomal RNA". It matches the Rfam family "Bacterial small subunit ribosomal RNA", at positions 355 to 525 of the family's 1533-position model. The record is from RNAcentral.
UGGGGAAUAUUGCGCAAUGGGGGAAACCCUGACGCAGCGACGCCGCGUGAGCGAUGAAGGCCUUAGGGUUGUAAAGCUCUGUUUUAAGGGACGAAUGUUAUGGGGAGUAAUAUGCCCUGUAAAUGACGGUACCUUAAGAGGAAGCCCCGGCUAACUACGUGCCAGCAGCCGCGGUAAGA